CAGUCGGGGAAGUAUUGCACAAUGGGGGAAACCCUGAUGCAGCCAUGCCGCGUGUGUGAAGAAGGCCUUACGGGGUUGUUAAAGCACUUUCAGUAGGGAGGAACGGUAGUGUAGUUAACACCUGCAUUAUUUGACGUUACCUACAGAAGAAGCACCGGCUAACUCCGUGCCAGCAGCCGCGGUAAUACGGAGGGUGCGAGCGUUAAUCGGAAUUACUGGGCGUAAAGCGCAUGCAGGCGGCCUGUUAAGUCAGAUGUGAAAGCCCGGGGCUUAACCUCGGAAUUGCAUUUGAAACUGGCAGGCUAGAGUCUUGUAGAGGGGGGUAGGAAUUUCAGGUGUAGCGGUGAAAUGCGUAGAGAUCUGAAGGAAUACCAGUGGCGAAGGCGGCCCCCUGGACAAAGACUGACGCUCAGAUGCGAAAGCGUGGGGAGCAAACAGGAUUAGAUACCCUGGUAG
Molecule: ribosomal RNA, 456 nt
Filed under: uncultured bacterium
Lineage: Bacteria
Description: bacterial SSU rRNA
Rfam family: Bacterial small subunit ribosomal RNA
Source: RNAcentral